CAGUCGCCGCGGUAAUACGUAGGUCCCGAGCGUUGUCCGGAAUUAUUGGGCGUAAAGGGCUCGCAGGCGGUUUCUUAAGUCUGAUGUGAAAGCCCCCGGCUCAACCGGGGAGGGUCAUUGGAAACUGGGAAACUUGAGUGCAGAAGAGGAGAGUGGAAUUCCACGUGUAGCGGUGAAAUGCGUAGAGAUGUGGAGGAACACCAGUGGCGAAGGCGACUCUCUGGUCUGUAACUGACGCUGAGGAGCGAAAGCGUGGGGAGCGAACAGGAUUAGAUACCCCUGUAGUCCCUGUCUCUUAUAU
This 301-nucleotide ribosomal RNA is filed under the name uncultured bacterium. RNAcentral describes it as "partial 16S ribosomal RNA". It matches the Rfam family "Bacterial small subunit ribosomal RNA", at positions 509 to 809 of the family's 1533-position model. The record is from RNAcentral.